UCCUACGGGGGGCAGCAGUAGGGAAUUUUCGUCAAUGGGCGCAAGCCUGAACGAGCAAUGCCGCGUGAACGAGGAAGGUCUUCGGAUCGUAAAGUUCUGUUGAAGGGGAAAAAGAGCGGAGAGAGGAAAUGGUCUCCGAUUGAUAUUACCCUUCGAGGAAGUCACGGCUAACUACGUGCCAGCAGCCGCGGUAAUACGGAGGGCGCGAGCGUUAAUCGGAAUUACUGGGCGUAAAGCGCGCGUAGGCUGUUGUGUAAGUUGGGGGUGAAAUCCCACGGCUCAACCGUGGAACAGCCCUCGAUACU
RNAcentral lists this ribosomal RNA (305 nucleotides) under uncultured bacterium. RNAcentral describes it as "bacterial SSU rRNA". It matches the Rfam family "Bacterial small subunit ribosomal RNA", at positions 337 to 634 of the family's 1533-position model. The record is from RNAcentral.